UGCCUAUACCGUGCCGCCGGUCGGCAGCGAUAUUGUGGCGGCCCGCAGAGGGUCAGACGCCGCACUGAAGCCCCGGUGAGUAGGGGGGUCGCGACGGUGAGCGUUGAAGGGUUGUGGGCGCGAGCCUGCCCGGAGCCGCCGUCGGUGCAGAUCUUGGUGGUAGUAGCAAAUACUCCAGAGGGAUCCUGGAGGACUGACGCGGAGAAGGGUUUCAUGUGAACAGUGGUUGGACAUGAGUCAGUCGAUCCUAAGCCGCAGGAGAAAUCCGUCCUAGUGUACCGGUGUGACUUGCUACUCGAACCCCGUGUUCAAGUUUAUGAGAGGCACCGCUGGGUCAAGGCGAAAGGGAAUCCGGUCCUAAUUCCGGAACCAGGCUGCGGCUACGUCCGAUCUGAAACACCCGUUUCAUUCGGUCGCGGUAACGCGACACAAACCGGAGAAGCUGUCGAGAACCCCGGGAAGAGUUUUCUUUUCUGCUUGAGGGACCGAGACCCUGGAAUUCCGUCGCGGAGCGAGAGGGUUUUGGAUGAACGCGCUGUAAAAAGGCGAUCCCGAAGAGCGGCGCGUUUCCGCGCCGUCCGUGGUCGUUCUCGACUGGCCCUUGAAAAUCCGGCGGGAGGGUUACGUUUUGGACGUUCGCGCCUGUUCGUACCGAUAUCCGCAUCAGGUCUCCUAGGUGAACAGCCUCUAGUCGAUAGAAGAAUGUAGGUAA
Molecule: ribosomal RNA, 712 nt
Filed under: Diaphanosoma sp. DJT-2002
Lineage: Eukaryota; Metazoa; Arthropoda; Branchiopoda; Diplostraca; Sididae
Description: eukaryotic LSU rRNA
Rfam family: Eukaryotic large subunit ribosomal RNA
Source: RNAcentral